Molecule: ribosomal RNA, 528 nt
Filed under: uncultured bacterium
Lineage: Bacteria
Description: bacterial SSU rRNA
Rfam family: Bacterial small subunit ribosomal RNA
Source: RNAcentral
AAUAGAUACUCAGGUAGUCCACGCCGUAAACGAUGAGUGCUAAGUGUUAGGGGGUUUCCGCCCCUUAGUGCUGCAGCUAACGCAUUAAGCACUCCGCCUGGGGAGUACGGUCGCAAGACUGAAACUCAAAGGAAUUGACGGGGGCCCGCACAAGCGGUGGAGCAUGUGGUUUAAUUCGAAGCAACGCGAAGAACCUUACCAGGUCUUGACAUCCCACUGACCGCUAUGGAGACAUAGCUUUCCCUUCGGGAACAGUGGUGACAGGUGGUGCAUGGUUGUCGUCAGCUCGUGUCGUGAGAUGUUGGGUUAAGUCCCGCAACGAGCGCAACCCUUGAUCUUAGUUGCCAUCAUUUAGUUGGGCACUCUAAGGUGACUGCCGGUGACAAACCGGAGGAAGGUGGGGAUGACGUCAAAUCAUCAUGCCCCUUAUGACCUGGGCUACACACGUGCUACAAUGGACGGUACAAACGGUUGCCAACCCGCGAGGGGAGCUAAUCCGAUAAAACCGUUCUCAGUUCGGAUUGUAGG